RNAcentral lists this transfer-messenger RNA (372 nucleotides) under Candidatus Nanopelagicaceae. Its description in RNAcentral is "Planktophila sp009698815 Standard tmRNA". It matches the Rfam family "transfer-messenger RNA". From Rfam's summary of the family: Bacterial tmRNA, also known as 10Sa RNA or SsrA, is named for its dual tRNA and mRNA-like properties. Its role is to liberate the mRNA from a stalled ribosome. RNAcentral also lists the same sequence under 3 other names. The record is from RNAcentral. Lineage: Bacteria; Bacillati; Actinomycetota; Actinomycetes; Candidatus Nanopelagicales.
GGGGGUGAACGGUCUCGACUUUGGUUGUUGAGGCAGGGGAAGCGGGCCGAGGAAGCCAGGAUGAUCUCGUUAACCAAUAACCUGUGCAAAAAAUAAUCGUCAGUACAACUGCCGAUGAUCUCACUCUUGCUGCCUAAGCAAGCUCUGUGAUCCGUUAACCCAGACUCGCCUUCGAUCUGGGACCUAACGCCGACAGAAGGCUUUUCACGGUUGUGGCGUUGCGAACGCGACCGGAGAACAGUUUCGCAAAUGAGUUUGUCGAAUACUUGUGUGCAAGAGAUUCGGAACUGAGAAAACGAUAGCCACACUACGCCCGUAGAAGCCCUGUUUUAAUUCCGAAGGACCCGGGUUCGAUUCCCGGCACCUCCACCA